RNAcentral lists this ribosomal RNA (468 nucleotides) under uncultured bacterium. Its description in RNAcentral is "partial 16S ribosomal RNA". It matches the Rfam family "Bacterial small subunit ribosomal RNA", at positions 28 to 507 of the family's 1533-position model. The record is from RNAcentral.
GACGAACGCUGGCGGCGUGCUUAACACAUGCAAGUCGAACGGAAAGGCCCUGCUUUUGUGGGGUGCUCGAGUGGCGAACGGGUGAGUAACACGUGAGUAACCGGCCCUUGACUUUGGGAUAACUUCAGGAAACUUGGUCUAAUACCGGAUAGGAGCUCCUGCUGCAUGGUGGGGGUUGGAACGUUUCGGCGGUUGGGGAUGUACUCGCGGCUUAUCAGCUUGUUGGUGGGGUAGUGGCUUACCAAGGCUUUGACGGGUAGCCGGCCUGAGAGGGUGACCGGCCACAUUGGGACUGAGAUACGGCCCAGACUCCUACGGGAGGCAGCAGUGGGGAAUAUUGCACAAUGGGCGGAAGCCUGAUGCAGCAACGCCGCGUGCGGGAUGACGGCCUUCGGGUUGUAAACCGCUUUCGCCUGUGACGAAGCGUGAGUGACGGUAAUGGGUAAAGAAGCACCGGCUAACUACGUG